GAUGAACGCUGGCUACAGGCUUAACACAUGCAAGUCGAGGGGAAACGACGGGGAAGCUUGCUUCCCCGGGCGUCGACCGGCGCACGGGUGAGUAACGCGUAUCCACCUGCCUCUGACUGAGGGAUAACCCGUCGAAAGUCGGCCUAAUACCUCAUGGCAUCGUCUGCGGGCAUCCAACGACGAUUAAAGAUUUCAUCGGUCAGGGAUGGGGAUGCGUCUGAUUAGUUAGUUGGCGGGGUAACGGCCCACCAAGGCGACGAUCAGUAGGGGUUCUGAGAGGAAGGUCCCCCACAUUGGAACUGAGACACGGUCCAAACUCCUACGGGAGGCAGCAGUGAGGAAUAUUGGUCAAUGGGCGAGAGCCUGAACCAGCCAAGUAGCGUGCAGGAAGACGGCCCUAUGGGUUGUAAACUGCUUUUAUGCGGGGAUAAAGUGAGGGACGUGUCCUUCAUUGCAGGUACCGCAUGAAUAAGGACCGGCUAAUUCCGUGCCAGCAGCCGCGGUAAUACGGAAGGUCCGGGCGUUAUCCGGAUUUAUUGGGUUUAAAGGGAGCGUAGGCCGUGGAUUAAGCGUGUUGUGAAAUGCAGGUGCUCAACGUCUGCACUGCAGCGCGAACUGGUUCACUUGAGUGUGCACAACGCAUGCGGAAUUCUUCGUGUAUCGUUGAAAUGCUUAGAUAUGACGAAGAACUCCUAUUGCGAAGGCUGCUUGCGGGAGCACAACUGACGCUGAAGCUCGAAAGUGCGGGUAUCGAACAGGAGUAGAUACCCUGGUGGUCCAAGGGCUAAUUCCACAGUGGAUAUCAAGCUUAUCGAUACCGUCGACCUCGAGGGGGGGGCCCGGUACCCAGCUUUUGUUCCCUUUAGUGGGGGUUAUUAGUGGUUGUUUUGUUUGUGCCGUGUCGUUGUAAUAUAUUUUAUUGUGUGUGUAGUUUGUUUUGUGGGUGCUGUG
Molecule: ribosomal RNA, 951 nt
Filed under: uncultured Prevotella sp.
Lineage: Bacteria; Pseudomonadati; Bacteroidota; Bacteroidia; Bacteroidales; Prevotellaceae
Description: bacterial SSU rRNA
Rfam family: Bacterial small subunit ribosomal RNA (bases 1-811)
Source: RNAcentral